This is a long non-coding RNA of Oncorhynchus nerka (sockeye salmon), 1861 nucleotides long. RefSeq lists it as uncharacterized. The record is from RefSeq and is a predicted model, not a curated record. NCBI's taxonomy places the organism in Eukaryota, Metazoa, Chordata, Actinopteri, Salmoniformes, Salmonidae. The transcript is spliced from 3 exons.
CCCCUCCCACUUACCAAACCCUCCCACUCCCCAACCCAUCCCACUCCCAACCCCUUCCACACUUCACUUCUCAACCCUUCACUCCCAUCAUUCUUAUCCUUUCACUUCCAUCAUUCUUAUGAUGGGAGGGGCUGAUGUACGGACCGUUUCUACUUCUUCAUUUUCGCCGUGGUAACCACCAACCUGGAGGAAAAGAUGGCCGACUAUGACGACAAGAACUCUUAAGAGUGUUCGCUGGCUAGCGAUUAUACCGGAAGAUACGGGAGUCCUGAUGGACCAGGGCAGAGGUGGUGACCAAAGACCAACAUGACCCGGCACCAGAAGACCUGGAAGAACCUGACCAUGGACACCUUGGAGAAGCUGGCCCUUGCCAGCACAAGAGUAUAGUGGAGGGGGUGCACAGCCUGUCGUUCAACGUACAGCAAGAGGUGAUGAUGAGGAACCAUAUGACUGCAACCCUCCAAGACAAACUAUUGAAUAAUGAUAUUGCCACCGACCAUACUGGAGACAUCCUGUCCACCCUCAUCACCCUGGAGAAGGUAAGAAGGCAGUGGACAUGGCACCAUUCCCCAUAUAGUGCACUAAUUUUGAUCAGAGCCUUAUGGGUGCUCAAUAGAUUCAAUGACUCUUCCUGGAGUUGUCUAUAACCUUAUAUUUACUGUUCUGUUACUAAUGUCAGUUGUGUGUCAAGCUCAUCAAAUCCAAUGUAUUUAUAAAGCCCUUUUUACAUCAGCAGAUGGCACAAAGUGCUUAUACAAAAACCCACCCUAAAACCCCAAACAGCAAGAAAUGCAGAUGUAGAAGCACAGUGGCUAGGAAAAACUUCCUAGAAAGGCAGGAGCCUAGGAAGAAACCUAGAAAGGAACCAGGCUCUGAGGGGUGGCCAGUCCUCUUCUGGCUGUGCUGGGUGGAGAUUUUCAGAGUACAUGGGAAUUAAGGCCAGAAUGUUCUUCAAGAAGUUCAAGCAUUCAUAGAUGACCAGUACAGUCAAAUAAUAAUCACACUUGUUGUAGAGGGUGCAACAGGCCAGUACCUCAGGAGAAAAUGUCAGCUGGCUUUUCAUAACUGAGCAUUUAGAGGUCGAGGGAGUUUUUCCUAGCCACCGUGCUUCUACACCUUUUACUCCAGUCAAAUAAUAAUCACACUUGUUGUAGAGGGUGCAACAGGCCAGUACCUCAGGAGAAAAUGUCAGCUGGCUUUUCAUAACUGAGCAUUUAGAGGUCUAGGGAGUUUUUCCUAGCCACCGUGCUUCUACACCUGCAUUGCUUUGUUUGGGGUUUUUGUACAGCACUUUGAGAUAUCAGCUGAUGUACGAAGGGCUAUAUAAAUAAAUUUGAUUUGAGACAGAAGAAAACAGCACGUCCAGGAGAAGGUAGCACAUCCGGUGAACAUGUCAGGGUUCCAUAGCCAUGGGCAGAACAGUUCAAACUUGAGCAGCAGCAAGACCAGGUGGACUGUGGGCAGCCAGGAAUCAUCAGGCCUGGUAGUCCAGAGGCACAGUCCUAGGGCUCAUGUCCUCAACUCGAACAGAGCAUCCUCACCUGUUCCAGCAGGGGGAUAUGCGUCAUGCAGCCAUGAGGCUGUCCAUGGACAGCCAGCUGUCCUACCGGUCUACUUCUACACAUGUGGAUGUGGGACACAGUAACACUCCCAGCACACACCACAACACAGGCUGAACACACCUUUAACAGCCAUUUGGCUUUACUGAUUAGCUGAAAUGAUCUCAAAGAUAAUGUGCUAGGUUUCAUGGUUAAGUCAGACUGUAUGCUUGCUGCACACAUUUGCACAUGCAGAUCAAUGUUGACCAUGUACUGUGAAAUCAAGGGGGAUUUUGUUUUUUUAAUAAAAAAGAUUGGAGAUU